Molecule: ribosomal RNA, 861 nt
Filed under: uncultured bacterium
Lineage: Bacteria
Description: bacterial SSU rRNA
Rfam family: Bacterial small subunit ribosomal RNA
Source: RNAcentral
CGGUAAUACGGAGGGUGCAAGCGUUAAUCGGAAUUACUGGGCGUAAAGCGCGCGUAGGUGGCUUGAUAAGCCGGUUGUGAAAGCCCCGGGCUCAACCUGGGAACGGCAUCCGGAACUGUCAGGCUAGAGUGCAGGAGAGGAAGGUAGAAUUCCCGGUGUAGCGGUGAAAUGCGUAGAGAUCGGGAGGAAUACCAGUGGCGAAGGCGGCCUUCUGGACUGACACUGACACUGAGGUGCGAAAGCGUGGGUAGCAAACAGGAUUAGAUACCCUGGUAGUCCACGCCGUAAACGAUGUCGACCAGCCGUUGGGUGCCUAGAGCACUUUGUGGCGAAGUUAACGCGAUAAGUCGACCGCCUGGGGAGUACGGCCGCAAGGUUAAAACUCAAAUGAAUUGACGGGGGCCCGCACAAGCGGUGGAGCAUGUGGUUUAAUUCGAUGCAACGCGAAGAACCUUACCUACCCUUGACAUCUACAGAAGCCGGAAGAGAUUCUGGUGUGCCUUCGGGAACUGUAAGACAGGUGCUGCAUGGCUGUCGUCAGCUCGUGUUGUGAAAUGUUGGGUUAAGUCCCGUAACGAGCGCAACCCUUGUCCUUAUUUGCCAGCGAGUAAUGUCGGGAACUCUAAGGAGACUGCCGGUGACAAACCGGAGGAAGGUGGGGACGACGUCAAGUCAUCAUGGCCCUUACGGGUAGGGCUACACACGUGCUACAAUGGCCGGUACAAAGGGCUGCGAGCUCGCGAGAGUCAGCGAAUCCCUUAAAGCCGGUCUCAGUCCGGAUCGGAGUCUGCAACUCGACUCCGUGAAGUCGGAAUCGCUAGUAAUCGUGAAUCAGAAUGUCACGGUGAAUACGUUCCCGGG